Molecule: ribosomal RNA, 336 nt
Filed under: uncultured bacterium
Lineage: Bacteria
Description: bacterial SSU rRNA
Rfam family: Bacterial small subunit ribosomal RNA
Source: RNAcentral
AAGAAGAAUAAGCUUAUUUUAUUUUCUAGAAAGUUCCCGACGGUGAUGGAUGAACAUGCGACUGAUUAGUUUGUUGGUGAGGUAACGGCUCACCAAGACUACGAUCAGUAGGGGUACUGAGAGGUUAAACCCCCCACACUGGUACUGAGACACGGACCAGACUCCUACGGGAGGCAGCAGUAAGGAAUAUUGGACAAUGGCCGCAAGGCUGAUCCAGCCAUGCCGCGUGCAGGAAGACGGACCUAUGGUUUGUAAACUGCUUUUGAACGGGACGAAAACCCCCCUACGUGUAGGGGGCUGAUAGUACUGUUAGAAUAAGCAUCGGCUAACUUCGUG